GGGGGCGACUGGAUUCGACAUAUUAGCCAUGAGGGUGGAAGCAGGCCGUGGUCUCCUCGCCACGUUAAACAGGGGUACAGUCAAAUUUAAUUGACGACAAUUCUUAUGCUCUCGCUGCUUAAUUAAGCCAGCGACGUCGACCCGGGGAAUUUCCCCGGCUCCGGGAAGACGUCAUUUAGGGGAAUGCUGCUGCGCACGUAGUCGGUAUGGCGCAGAGUAAGCUUGAACCAACUAGAGAUUGCAACGCUUGUCUGUGCGCUGCGCAUGAUCGAAACUCGAGCAUAGACUGAGCUUGGAGAUGCCGCCCAGGUGGUUCUUAUGGACCGGAGUUCGAUUCUCCGCGCCUCCACCA
This 352-nucleotide transfer-messenger RNA is filed under the name Coriobacteriales. RNAcentral describes it as "CADBOM01 sp902796325 Standard tmRNA". It matches the Rfam family "transfer-messenger RNA". Rfam says of the family: Bacterial tmRNA, also known as 10Sa RNA or SsrA, is named for its dual tRNA and mRNA-like properties. RNAcentral also lists the same sequence under 1 other name. The record is from RNAcentral. Lineage: Bacteria; Bacillati; Actinomycetota; Coriobacteriia.